Molecule: long non-coding RNA, 2796 nt
Organism: Bombus terrestris (buff-tailed bumblebee)
Lineage: Eukaryota; Metazoa; Arthropoda; Insecta; Hymenoptera; Apidae
Exons: 3
Source: RefSeq, a predicted model, not a curated record
UAUAUCAUUUUACGUGUCGAUGGAUUUGGGUCGUAGAACUAUAUCGCGAUCGGUUAAUGGCGUUGCGUAACGCCAGACGAGAUACGCGACUCGAUAAAAAUCGAUUGUAUCAUCGACGGUGGGAACGUUCGUUUGGUUUCCUCAAGAUCGAGAGCCUUGUUAUAACCCUCUCUCUUGUACGUCUCUUUUUUAUACUCUAUCUUCGUUCCUCCCUUUUCACGCGCCAGAAUCAUAUAUCUUUUUUCGCGCAUGAACGAACUGACGGAUCUGGUAAAUAGAGUGUCUAACUAAGUUCCUAACUAUCUUCGUUAGAAACGCAAAACAAUCUUCUCGCGCGCGAUUGUUAUCAUGAUGAGUAUACAUAUAUGAAUAAUAAGCUUGGUAAGGCGCAAGGUGAUCCGAUAUAUCGACGAUUCGUGUUGAUUAUAGGUUAGGUUUAGAGCCCCGGAGCACGGGAACGAUGGAGCAAUUCGUUCCCUGGUCGAAGUCGUAACCGCGGUGUAGAGGUGUCGUAACAGCGACUUAAUAACAGCUACGUUGAAAAGGGAAGGGAAAAGGAAGGAAGAUUUUUAUCGGUUCUCGCUCAAAUUCGCUACUCUAUAUUUCACCGUGAGGAACAUUCUAACGCACUUUACAAAGCUCUUAAGAAUUCAUCAUGGAACUAAAACGAAGAUAAAUAGAAUAUAGGAACAUACAACCGAUAUAAAAUAAUCUGAGGAACUAUGCGGUAAAAAGUGGAAUAAAAGCAUUAUCUAUCGGAAACGUGGAUUAGCGCCCUACAUAAAAUACAUAGUCACUAAAAUACUAUAUUGUAUUAGAUAGGUUAGACUCCUAGACCAUGAGCCCUCAAGCGUUGAAGCCAGCUGUCCACUAUUAAGGGCAUAGAGGGCGCCAAAACAUUGUAUCGCCCGCAGUGCCAAACUCUUGCUACAUCAUCUCAUUAACACGGAAGAAUUUAAGAAACGACAAUGAAUAUUUACUUUCAUUUUUUAAAAGUACCCCACAGUAACAAGUCAUUGUUCCUCUGUAAUAAAAAUGGCAGGUCGAUAAAGUGCUAAUAAUCGAUGUAGAAGUCAAGUAUUCACGGAUCGAAAAGUAGAAAGUGAAGUAUCCCAUCUACGAUUUACACUCCGUUAACGAUCGUUUGUCACGAUCGAAGAUAAAGACGGUGAGAUUCCUACGGCGUUGGUUCCAAUGAGAAUCGCAGCCAAUCGUAUCCAAUGAGAAUUGAUGGAAAUGGGAACCCUUAUCACGAGAUGUCGCCAUCCCCUGCUAAGGAUUAAAUUAUGUAAAUUCCCGGGAGUAUCGGUCGUGACCGAUCGAAUACGCAAAAAGAACACCGAUCGAAGUACAUAUUCUUUUGGAAUUCGAUUAUGUGUCAACACGAUCGAAAUAUGUACGAACAGGAACAUAAGAAAAGAUAAAAGGAGCGUAUUAUAAGGCUUGGAUGUCUACGAUCCGGCGACAAGCAUACAAGUAUAAUUGCUUAUGGAUGCGGACACGCCCUGAGAGAAAAAUUCAUCCGGGGAAUGCGCUGAAGUAACCACGUCCUUGACCGUACUUGACGGAAACGGCAUUCAACCUUCUGAUGCCUUCUUCUCCGUCGUCCAAGAUGGAAUUCUACCGCGAGGCGGUUGUAUUCCAAGCUGAACACCGUGUUUGGAACUUUUAUUUGAUGACUACCUAAAGAAAAUAUCAGAAAGAAAAUCGGGCAAGAAUGUUGGAAGUUGUUAAUUCUAAAAGUAGCGGAAUUUUUAUUUCUUUUAAAACACUAAUAACGCAUUGUUCGAAAACAAGAAUUUUGGCUUCUAUAUUUCAAAAUGACCUGAAUAUUUACGAAAGAUAAGAAAACGAUUGCCUAUUUUAAUACUAUGCCGUGAUUUGUCGAGUAUCUAAUCUAUAAAAUAGUUUUCAAGGAUACUAGAUAUCCUAAUAAAUGAUAAAACGAUUUAAGCGCCAAGUUACACAGAUCAUAUGUAUUUAUUUCAUCUUUCUAGACUUUCAUUGUAAGACUAAGAAUCACCUUUGUAAAUUUCCAUGCUUUCUACAAAGUAUACAAGCAACACAGUUACAUACGUGUAAUGCAGGUAAAUUACUCAAGAAUAUUAUCCGCCUGACUUGGAAGUGGGCAUGCAGGAUGGAACCUGAUUCGCAGUGCGAAGUCUAAAUGACACGGGAGAGGAACGGGAAAUCUGACAUUCUCGUUUUCCUCUCGCACAAGCUAGCACCUCGUUAACUGACCAAGAUCUUUUUUCAUUAACUGGCUAUCGCCAUCCUCGCCAAUUAGGAUACAAAAAGAUUGGAAUAGAAAUGAAAAAAUCUUGGUUCUAUAAAAAUUACGCAAAGGUAAUUUACAAGGGCCGUAUAAUAAUAGUACCGUGUGAUUGACUUAAGAAAUGGAGGAGGAAUUUGAAAUUUUUAAAAGAUUUAUUUCGUUUGGACCAAAAAUUUUGUGCUUCUCGCCUGGAGGCUUUCCUUCCUCCUUCUUUUUCGUGACAACGUAACGCAACAUGCUCGUUAGAUUGGGGUUCGAGUGCGCGAGAAAGGGGAGGAAUUUAUGCCGUCGUUAACGUAACGUUCCUUGGUGCAAGGUGGUUUACAAGCAACAUCGUAAAAUCCGCGUCUUCUCGAUUUAUCAUAGCACGAGCAACAAACUGCUCGCAUUCCCUUCAUUCGCCAGUGCGUGGAAUAUCUCGUGGUGAAGGUUAUUCACCCUUCUCGAGGGACUAAAAUCACUCUAGAUCCUCCGAGAUAAUGAGGUAUAUCGAAUUGGUAAUAAACAGUGGAAAAGGAGUA